Molecule: long non-coding RNA, 8614 nt
Filed under: Manihot esculenta (cassava)
Lineage: Eukaryota; Viridiplantae; Streptophyta; Magnoliopsida; Malpighiales; Euphorbiaceae
Description: long non-coding RNA (MESC_LNC002816)
Source: RNAcentral
AGGUUUUGGGGGAGAGUUGCAUGAAUAGGGUUAUUUGUGAAGUUUUGAUGAUUUUGUGAGUAAAACUUGUUUCUGUGUUGUAUGUGUUGUGUGUUUGGGGUUUUAAGGUAGUUUUUGACCCCUUUGAGCAUAUACAUGAGUGUAUGCAAGUUGAGGACUUAAGGUGUUUGAGUUUGAGAGAGUUUUGGUGCUUUUGGCGAGAGGUAGAGCACGUUUCUGUCUUGCGGAUGAACUCAGGUUCGGCCGCCGAAGGUACAUUCGGCCGCCGAACCCAUGAGGAGGUGGCUUCAGCUGCCCAAGCUUGCCCCCGAGCUUUUGGACUUUCGGCUCUGGAGGGGAGUUCGGCCGCCGAAGGUGCCGCCGAAGGUUAGAGACUUUCGUCUCUGGAGUGCCUUUCAGCCUCCAAAACUUGCCCCCGAAAGGGUUCGGCUGCCGAAAGUAGAGAUUCGGCCGCCGAAGGUGCAUGAGUUUCGUCUCUGGAGAGGACUUUCGGCCGCCGAACCUGCCGCCGAAAGUGUCCUGUCCAGCCUUCCUUUGCAUGCUUUGCAUGGAUGAUUAGAGUGAGUUUAAGGGGAUUCUUGGGGAGUUUCUUAGAGUUGCUCAUAAGCUAGUUUGGUCCCUCAUUUGAGUCUAUCUGUAUAGGUACAGACCAGAGGAACCAGAGAGAGCAGUAGUGAGUACUGCUCCAGAGUUUUCAGCGCCUGCAGAGUCAGUCCAGAUAGCUAGAGGUGAGUGGAACUAAACUUAAUGUGUUUAAUUGAGAAAUGAAAUGCUUUUGGCAUAGUUCAUGCAUCAUGAGUAUAUAGUAGGUUGUUGGCAUUAGAAUCCACGAAUAUGUUGCAUUGCAUAGUUAUUUGUUGAUGUGGGUGAAUGCUGAAUGAUCCAAUAGUCUCUGAGAGAAGUCCAGGAGCCUUUGACUACGCCCUGGCAGGUAUAGAGAAGUCCAGGAGCCUUUGACUACGCCCUGGCAGGUAUAGUAAAGUCCAGGAGCCUUUGACUACGCCCUGCCAAUGGUAAGUACAGAGGUGUUAUAUACACAUAUAUAUAUAUAUGACAGGAAGAUCAGGUGCUCGAUUCUACGCCCUGGCACGGCAGAGUUACCGGGACUAUGUGGUGACAGGUUUACCCUUGAUGUGGAUUGUCUGUGUUCUGAUGCAUUCCAUAAGAUCAUAUUUUAAUGAUAUGUUUUACUAUUCUACUCACUGGGCUAUAGAGCUCAUCCCACUCCCUUAACCCCAGGUUUGCAGGUUCAGUGUACAGAGGAGAUCAACAGAGUACAUAAAGAGUAAAGAGAUUUGUAAUAGCUUAGAGUGGACAUGUAAUAUUAAAGAGAUGUAAUAGUUGUGUAUAAAGGUAGAAAUGUGCUUGACUUAGUGAUGUUUGUGUUGUAAAUCUUUUGUUAUGUACAUGAUCUGUAUAUGUAUAUGUUUUACAGAGUAUGUGAAAAACCAGGCUUAACAGGUAUGAGUUACCCAUCUAGAGCAAGCUCUAGUCAGGGGUACAGAGUACAGAGUACAGAGAUAGUGCAUGCACAGGUUAAGCCUUGGUACAGAGAAAAGAGUUUUUAUUUUCACAGAAAAUGUAUGAUCAUGUAUGAGAUUUAUAGGUACACAGAGAGUAUAGCAGGCUUGCUACGGGUUCUGGCGACCUUAAGCCGACCUGAAUCCUAGCGCCGGUGACGGUCCAUUUUGGGGUCGUUACAGAUUGGUAUCAGAGCCCUAGGUUCACAUGAUCGGACCUAUAGAGAGAGUGUCGGGCUCAUAGAGGGUAGAGGUGGUCAAGCACAAUAGGAAAUCAUGUUCACUAGGAGAGGGUGGUGAGUCCUAUCUGUUUGAUGCCAUGAGUUAUGCAUGUGCAUUAUUGAUAUGUGAUGUUUAUGUGCUAAAGUGCUAUAUUAUGUGUUGUUUUCCAGAUGAGCUAGGUUGAUGUCUGUCAACAACAGGAGCUACUGGUUCUGGUGGUGGUGGUGGAGGUACUGGGUCAUUUAGCUCUGGGUGUGCUGCACUUGGAUGGGUAGAGGAAGGUGGAUACAUAGGAUAUGGUGGGUAAUAAUGCGGAUAAGGCAUAUAUGGCAUGUAAGGAGGAUAUGGGACAAAACUAGAGUACUCCGACAUACCUCCCAUCGGAUACUCUGGAUCCUGCGGAAAGACUGGAUAGCCAAAACCUGAGGCUUGAGCGCCUCCCUGCGACUCUCCCAUACCUUCCUCAAAUCUACCUAUACCCAUGUUGUCAUCUCUAGACUGGUCAAUCUCCAUAGCCUCCCUCCUUUCCUCUAAUCUUCCUCCCCUAGUUGUUCCCCUUCUGCUCUCGUCGACAGACCUUCUAGGGUCUAUUGACGUACCUUCCCUGCUAGAUCUCUGAGACCUUGCCCUCGGCAAUGCAGGAGGACGAGCAGCUGUUCUCUCACUAUCUGGUGGGACUCCAGUCAAUCGAGCUGAUCGACGAGUUCCUCACAUCUUUACUUGAAAUUGGAUGCUCCUAAAUACAACACGGGAGAUGAUCCAUUUGAAUACCUCAGAUUAGUUAGGAUGAUAACCAGUGAAUUGGGAGCAGAUGAUAGUCGAGCCAUUGAGAUGGCAGGGUUUACACUCAAAUGCAAGAAAGCCAGAGAAUGGUUCAAGAACUAUAUGGAGCCUAGGAUCGACAACAUGUCGUGGGGAGAGUUCGCCAAUGAAUUUGCAGGGUGGGCUUUUCCUGAUAGUUCCAGGGAGAUGAAAGUAAUAGAGUUCGAACAGUUGAGACAGACAGACGAAAUGAGUGUUGAUGAAUUCACAGAUAAGUUCCUGGAUUUGCUUCAGUAUGUGGGUCAAGCCUAUGAUACUGAUCAGAAGAAGGCAAGGAGAUAUACUAUGAGACUGCAUCCCAGGUAUUCUUCCUUGAUUCUUCCAGCAGAAAAGGAGAGUUUCCACACUAUAGUGGACGCAGCCAGGAAAAUGAAAGCUAGUGCCAAUAUUCAGAAACAGUCAAAGGCACAGGCUUCGGGUUCUAAGGCCCCCAAUUCAGCACCUUCAGGCAGCAAGAGAUGGGAUAGAGAAAAAGGAACAAAGAGUAAGUUCUGAAGUAAAGUCAAGUCAGGUCUGGGAAUAGGUAGUGGCUCAAGCUCUGGCACAGCUCCAGUAUGCAGAAGAUGUGGAAGACCACAUGGAGGAGGUUGUCGAUUGGGAUCUACAGCUUGUUUUAGAUGUGGACAAGAAGGGCAUAUUGCUCGGGAUUGUCCUCAGGUGACUUUUGCACCAUCCUAGCAGAUGAGUUCAGGCAGUGUGGUACAGCCAGUUGUACAGCCAACAACGCCAGUCAUGCCUCAGAGUAGUGGCAGAGGUAGAGGGAGAGGGGCAGCCUCUACUUCAGCAGCAGGUUCCCGAGGUGGAAAUCCGGUAGCCCCAGCACGGAUUUUCACUGUGACACAGGAGGAGGCGAACACGUCGAACAUAGUGGUGUCAGGUAAUCUCAUCAUUGGGUGUUCAGAUGUGUAUGCUUUGAUGGACCCCAGUGCUUCUCAUUCCUUUAUUGCUUCGAGAGCCAUAGAGAGAUUGGGUUUGAUCAGUUCUGAGUUAGAGUAUCCUCUCUGGGUCAGUGGACCCAAGUGUGACCCAUCAGUGGCAGUGUCAGUCUGUCGUUUCAGUCCAGUGUUCAUAGAGGGUAGAUGCCUUCCAACUGACCUUGUGGUUCUAGACUUGACAGAUUUUGAUGUCAUUCUAGGGAUGGAUUGGCUAUCUGCAUAUAGUGCUACUUUGGACUGUAGAGAGAAGAUAGUUAGCCUCAGAGACCAGGAUGGGUCAGAGUGUGUCUUCAGAGGAGACAGGAGGGGUACACCCAGAGGUAUGAUUUCAGCCCUUCAGGCUCGUCAUUUGCUUCGGAGGGGUUGUCAGGGGUUUCUAGCUCAUGUGAGAGAGCUAGACAGUCAGGUGAGGGAACCAGCCACAGUACCAGUAGUCCGAGAGUUUCUCGAUGUUUUCUCAGACGAACUUCCAGGACUACCACCUGGUAGGGAGAUCGAGUUUGAAAUAGAAUUGCUGCCUGAUACCAGACCUAUCUCUAUUCCUCCCUACAGGAUGGCACCAGCAGAGUUAAAAGAGUUAAAAGAACAGUUGCAGGAUUUGGUAGAUAAGGGUUUCAUCCGCCUCAGUACCUCACCUUGGGGUGCUCCAGUGCUCUUUGUCAGAAAGAAGGAUGGAUCCCUCAGACUGUGUAUCGACUACAGACAGUUGAACAAGGUCACUACCAAGAAUAGGUAUCCUUUACCUCGGAUUGAUGAUCUAUUCGACCAGCUAGCUGGAGCAGGUUGUUUCUCUAAAAUAGAUCUGAGAUCCGGGUAUCAUCAGUUAAGAGUCAGAGAGGCAGAUGUGCCAAAGACAGCUUUCAGGACCAGAUAUGGGCAUUAUGAGUUCUUAGUGAUGCUGUUCGGGUUGACUAACGCCCCUGCAGCAUUCAUGGAUCUCAUGAACAGAGUUUUCAGUGAGUUUUUGGAUCACUUUGUCAUUGUUUUCAUUGAUGAUAUUUUAGUGUAUUCCAGAGAUGCAGAGGAGCAUGCCCAACAUCUGAGGAUAGUUCUGCAGACACUGAGAGAGCAUGGGUUAUAUGCCAAGUUCUCGAAGUGUGAGUUUUGGUUGAGGAGCAUUUCCUUCUUGGGACACGUGGUAUCAGCAGAAGGGAUUGAGGUAGACCCCAAGAAGAUAGAGGCUGUAGCUAACUGGCCCAAACCCACUACAGUGACUGAGAUUAAGAGCUUUCUGGGACUGGCAGGUUACUACAGGAGGUUCGUUCAGGACUUCUCAAAGAUAGCAGCUCCUAUGACCAAACUGACUCAGAAGAAUCAGAAGUUUAUCUGGUCAGACCAGUGUGAAGAGAGCAUUGAGGAGCUCAAGAAGAGAUUGACAUCAGCACCAGUACUAGCUCUGCCUGUCAGUAAUGAGGAUUUCACAGUGUUCUGUGAUGCAUCUCGAGUGGGAUUGGGCUGUGUUUUGAUGCAGAAUGAUAGGGUGAUAGCUUAUGCUUCUAGACAGUUGAAGAAGCACGAGUUGAAUUACCCCACCCAUGACCUAGAGAUGGCAGCAGUUAUUUUUGCACUCAAGAUGUAGCGGCAUUACCUCUACGGGGUUAAAUGCGAGAUCUUCACCGAUCAUAAGAGUUUACAGUACAUCUUGAGUCAGAGAGAGCUGAAUUUGAGGCAGAGAAGAUGGGUAGAAUUGCUCAGUGAUUAUGAUUGUAAGAUCCAGUAUCAUCCGGGUAAGGCGAAUAUUGUGGAAGACGCCCUAAACCGGAAGUCACUAGGCAGUUUAGCCCAUAUAGCAGCAGAGCGGAGACCAGUCGUGAUGGAGCUUUACAAGCUCAUCGAGGAGGGGUUACAGCUAGAGUUGUCUAGUACAGGUGUGUUGAUAGCACAGAUGAGAGUGACACCUAUGUUUCUGGAGCAGAUAGCUCAGAAACAACACGAGGACCCAGAGUUGAUGAAAAUUGCCAGGACUGUUCAGUCAGGCAACAGUGCAGAGUUCAGAUUUUACAGUAAAGGGAUCCUCCGCUAUGGGAGUCGCCUUUGUGUACCAGAUAGGAGCAGUGUGAAGGAAGACAUUAUGAGGGACGCUCAUAAUGCGAGGUAUAGUGUUCACCCAGGAGCCACCAAGAUGUACUAGGAUCUGAAAAGGGUCUAUUGGUGGCCAGCCAUGAAGAAAGAAGUGGCGCAGUUUGUGACAGCCUGUGAGGUUUGCCAGAGGGUGAAACUAGAGCAUCAGAAACCAGCUGGAAUGCUUAACCCACUGCCGAUUCCAGAGUGGAAAUGGGAGAACAUAGCUAUGGAUUUUGUAGUGGGUUUACCAGCAGCAUCCAACAGGAUAGACUCUAUAUGGGUGAUUGUGGACAGCCUCACGAAAUCUGCUCAUUUUCUUCCAGUUCGGAGUAACUAUUCUGUGGAUAAGUUAGCACAGGUAUAUCUGGAUGAGAUAGUGAGAUUACAUGGCGUUCCAGUGUCUAUAGUCUCAGACAGAGGACCUCAGUUUACCUCCAGAUUUUGGCGAAGUCUGCAGAGUGCGAUGGGCAUGCGAUUGGAUUUUAGCACUGCUUUCCACCCACAGACUGAUGGACAGUCAGAGAGGACUAUCCAGACCAUAGAGGAUAUGCUUCGACUGUGUGUGUUAGACUUUGGCGGUUCUUGGAGGCAGCAUCUACCUCUGGUGGAGUUUGCCUACAAUAACAGCCAUCAUGCUAGCAUAGGGAUGGCUCCUUAUGAAGCUUUGUAUGGGAGGAAGUGCAGAUCCCCUGUUUGCUGGGAAGAGAUAGGAGAGAAGGCUCUUGCAGGGCCAGAGUUAGUCGAGAUUACUAGUCGAGUGGUGCCUAUGAUCAGAGAGAGAAUCAGAACAACGCAGAGCAGACAGAAAAGUUAUGCAGACGUUCACAGAAAACAGUUAGAGUUCCAAGAGGGUAAUUGGGUAUUGCUGAAAGUGUCUCCAAUGAAGGGAGUGGUUCGUUUUGGGAAGAAGGGUAAAUUAGCUCCACGGUACAUUGGACCCUUUGAGGUUUUGCAGAGGAUCGGAAAUGUGUCGUAUAAGCUGGAUUUACCUGCUUCUAUGGAAAGAAUUCACCCGGUAUUUCAUGUUUCUAUGCUACGGCAGUUUGUGUCAGAUCCGAAUCAGGUUCUGAGUGAGCCUGAGGUGGAAAUUCUUACAGAUCUCACCUAUAUAGAGCAGCCAGUACGGAUUCUCGACACGCAGAUCAGACAGCUAAGGAACAAAGAGAUCCCAAUGGUGAAAGUUCUGUGGAACCACCAUAAUCUAGAAGAAUGCACCUGGGAGACGCGGGAGUCUAUGCUCCAGCAAUAUCCAUAUUUAUUUUGAGGUUAGUUUCCUCCUUUUUAUGUGUUAGUUAUUUAUUUUCGGAACAUUCGGGGACGAAUGUUCUUAAGGGGGGGAGAAUGUAAUACCCGGCUAGAGUUCGGCAUUGGAAUUCUACUUUUCGAUGGAGUUUUGGAUGCCGGAAGACGCUAGCAGGGUUCAAUUUAUGUUUUUCUAUCUUGUUUUGAUAUGUUCAUAAGUUUUAAAGCAUAAGGAAAUGAGUUUUUGAGUGAAAUAAACCAAGGCAGAAAAGCCAGGUUCGGCCGCUGAAGUUGAGGUUCGGCCGCCGAACAUGCAUGGCUUUCGGUUUCACGUGUGGCCGCCGAAGGUGGUCUGGCAAGCCACCUAUAAAAGGCCCUCAGUCGGUUGAAAGGAUAAGGCACGCCGAUUCCUUUCAAUUUUUGAGGUGAGACUCUGUCCUUCUUGAGUAUUUUACAUGUUUUCAUCAAAUCUUGCAAAGGUUUGAUUAGUUUUUAUGUUAUUUUGAAGGUUUUAAGCUAAAAACUCAAAGUUGUGAAGUUUGGAGAGUUUGAAGGAGAGUUGCUCCAAAACUCCACGUUAGGAUCGUUCAUCUUCUUGGUUUCAGGAGGUAAGUGAAGAUCCUGAGCUUGUUUUUAUGUUUUCUGAAGGUUUUUAUGAGGUUUUGGGGGAGAGUUGCAUGAAUAGGGUUAUUUGCGAGGUUUUGAUGAUUUUGUGAGUAAAGCUUGUUUCUGUGUUGUAUGUGUUGUGUGUUUGGGGUUUUAAGGUAGUUUUUGACCCCUUUGAGCAUAUACAUGAGUGUAUGCAAGUUGAGGACUUGAGGUGUUUGAGUUUGAGAGAGUUUUGGUGCUUUUGGCGAGAGGCAGAGCACGUUUCUGUCUUGCUGAUGAAUUCAGGUUCGGCCGCCGAAGGUACAUUCGGCCGCCAAACCCAUGAGGAGGUGGCUUCGACUGCCCAAGCUUGCCCCCGAGCUUUUGGACUUUCGGCUCUGGAGGGGAGUUCGGCCGCCGAAGGUGCCGCCGAAGGUUAGAGACUUUCGUCUCUGGAGUGCCUUUCAGCCUCCGAAACUUGCCCCCAAAAGGGUUCGGCUGCCGAAAGUAGAGAUUCGGCCGCCGAAGGUGCAUGAGUUUCGUUUCUGGAGAGGACUUUCGGCCGCCGAACCUGCCGCCGAAAGUGUCCUGUCCAGCCUUCCUUUGCAUGGAUGAUUAGAGUGAGUUUAAAGGGAUUCUUGGGGAGUUUCUUAGAGUUGCUCAUAAGCUAGUUUGGUCCCUCAUUUGAGUCUAUCUGUAUAGGUACAGACCAGAGGAACCAGAGAGAGUAGCAGUGAGUACUGCUCCAGAGUUUUCAGUGCCUGCAGAGUCAGUCCAGAUAGCCAGAGGUGAGUGGAACUAAACUUAAUUUGUUUAAUUGAGAAAUGAAAUGCUUUUGGCAUAGUUCAUGCAUCAUGAGUAUAUAGUAGGUUGUUGGCAUUAGAAUCCAUGAAUAUAUUGCAUUGCAUAGUUAUUUGUUGAUGUGGGUGAAUGCUGAAUGAUCCAAUAGUCUCUGAGAGAAGUCCAGGAGCCUUUGACUACGCUCUGGCAGGUAUAGAGAAGUCCAGGAGCCUAUGACUACGCCCUGGCAGGUAUAGUAAAGUCCAGAAGCCUUUGACUACGCCCUGGCAAUGGUAAGUACAGAGGUGUUAUAUACACAUAUAUAUAUAUAUGACAGGAAGACCAGGUGCUCGAUUCUACGCCCUAGCACGGCAGAGUUACCGGGACUAUGUGGUGACAGGUUUACCCUUGAUGUGGAUUGUCUGUGUUCUGAUGCAUUCC